UACGAAGGGGGCUAGCGUUGCUCGGAAUCACUGGGCGUAAAGCGCACGUAGGCGGCUUUUAAGUCAGGGGUGAAAUCCUGGAGCUCAACUCCAGAACUGCCUUUGAUACUGAGAGGCUUGAGUCCGGGAGAGGUGAGUGGAACUGCGAGUGUAGAGGUGAAAUUCGUAGAUAUUCGCAGGAACACCAGUGGCGAAGGCGGCUCACUGGCCCGGUACUGACGCUGAGGUGCGAAAGCGUGGGGAGCAAACAGG
This 252-nucleotide ribosomal RNA is filed under the name uncultured bacterium. RNAcentral describes it as "partial 16S ribosomal RNA". It matches the Rfam family "Bacterial small subunit ribosomal RNA", at positions 524 to 776 of the family's 1533-position model. The record is from RNAcentral.